AGAGAGUAGAAUGGUAGUUGCCCGAAGGUGGGGGCAUCUGUGGAGUUAUUGCUUAAAGGGUCACUAAACAUCCAACUCUCAAAUGACAUCUUCAUUUCAAUUUUGAUUGAGUAGCCAUAGAUAAUAGGGUGUCUUUUUUAAAAAUAAGCAUCAUUGGUUAAGAUUGGAGCCAAGGACUUUCACUUCCUGGAAAAAAACUACAAGAAACCAAGACUUGAUAAGGCUGCCAGUGAUAAGGACAGAAAUGCUAG
Long non-coding RNA from Lutra lutra (Eurasian river otter), 251 nucleotides. RefSeq lists it as uncharacterized. The transcript is spliced from 3 exons. The record is from RefSeq and is a predicted model, not a curated record. Lineage: Eukaryota; Metazoa; Chordata; Mammalia; Carnivora; Mustelidae.